Carassius gibelio (silver crucian carp) is the source of this 2007-nucleotide long non-coding RNA. RefSeq lists it as uncharacterized. The record is from RefSeq and is a predicted model, not a curated record. NCBI's taxonomy places the organism in Eukaryota, Metazoa, Chordata, Actinopteri, Cypriniformes, Cyprinidae. The transcript has 3 exons.
AUACACUACCAUUCAAACGUUUAAGGGUCAGAUUUAUCAUGUAUUUAAAAUAAAUAUUUUAUACUCACCACUGCUGCAUUUAUUUGAUUAAAAUACAGUAAAAUAGUAACAUUGUGAAAUUACUAGGGGUGACCCGACUAAGGUUUUUCAUAGUCGAAGCUGAAUUUUAAAAUCUUGGUGAUAUCCGACUGAUAGUCUAAUCAUAUGUUUGGGGGCAGAAUACACUGAGUCAAGUCAGACAUUCGACAGUCAUAAUUACUGAUCUUAAAGGGGGGGGUGAAAUGCUAUUUCAUGCAUACUGAGUUUUUUACACUGUUAAAGAGUUGGAUUCCCAUGCUAAACAUGGACAAAGUUUCAAAAAUUAAGUUGUACGUUUGAAGGAGUAUUUCUGUUCCAAAAAUACUCCUUCCGGUUUGUCACAAGUUUCGGAAAGUUUUUUUUGAGUAUGGCUCUGUGUGACGUUAGAUGGAGCGGAAUUUCCUUAUAUGGGUCCUGAGGCACUUCUGCCGGAAGAGCGCACGCUCCCGUAUAGCAGAGCACUGAGAGCACAACAGACUUCACUGAUCAGAGCGAGAGCGUCGUGAAAUGUCACAAAAGGAGUGUGUUUUUGGUUGCCAGGGCAAGACAACCCUGCACAGAUUACCAAAGAAAAAACAGCAUUAAGGGACCAGUGGAUGGAGUUUAUUUUUACAGAGCAUCAACGGAGUUGUGCAAGUGUUUGUGUUUGUUCCCUGCAUUUCUAAAAUGCUUGUUUUACAAACAAGGCCCAGUUUGACAACGGAUUUGCGUAUCGUUUAUUUCUUAAGGAUGAUGCAAUCCCAACGAAAAAGGGUCAGGAUUGUGUGUUGGAACCGCAUGCGAAUUAAGCUCCAACCCCAGUUAAACAGAUCUGAGCAGCUGAUCAAGGAUCAGCAGAAACUCUGCAGAACGGUGCUCCUCCAGCCCAGGACUGGACACCAGUGUUAUGCUGGAGAAAAAACAGUGAGGCUAAAGCAUUCAAAGUGGAAACAUCUGCCGUGGCUCAUUAAUCCAGAAUUGGGAUGGAGGAAGGAGCAGAAGAAGCAGAAGAUCAGAGAUCAGGCAGAGAUCUACUGGUGCCCCUGUGGGAAACCAUUUACCUAAUGUGUUAGUUAAACCAAAGAUUUUCAUCACUCACCUUUACGUUGUUCCAAGCCAGACUUUUGUUCAUCUUUGAAACAUAAAUGCAGAACUUUUUAAUGAAAUCUGAGAAUUUUUUUAAAUCUAAAAUAACGCAUUCACACAAGCACCAUGAUGCAUCAGUGUUGCAUUGGCGUGAGAGCUGGCGCUUUUGGUGCUUUUGAGAAAAUCCAUUGGGGAUUCCUAAUUUCUGAAUAUAUUUUUUUUUGCUGUUGUUGUUGUUUUUUGCGUACACAAGGCAUCUGUUAAAAAUAUCUUCAUUUGUGUUCUGCACAAAAGGGUGUUAUGGGUUUGGGGUAACAUGAGGGUAAGAAAUUAAUGACAGAAUUUAAAUUUUUGGUUGUUCUAAUGUGGUUAUAAUUGUUCAUAGUUUAUUGUCUUGAAAAAUUAUAUUUAUACAGAAAGAUGGAUUAAUUUGAUAAGUUUAGAGUAAAGACUUUUAAAUUGAUUUUAAAAAAUCAAAAUAAAUUCUACUCUUUUGCAAGGUCUAUUAAAAAUAUUACUGAUAAAUGUAAUGGUUUCCAAAAAAUAUUGGGCAGCACAACUGUGUUAAACAUUGAUAAUAAUCAAUUAAUAAUUAAUAAUCAUUAAUAAUUUCUUGAGCAGCAAAUCAUAUAUUAUAAUGAUUUCUGAAGAUCAUGUAACACUGAAGACUGGAGUAAUUGUGUUAAAAAUUCAGUUUACAGGCAUAAAUUACAUUUUACACUGCAUCCACAUAGAAAACAAUUAUUUCUGUAGUUAUAUUUCACAAUAUUACUGUUUUUACGGUCUGUUUAAUCAAAGGAGGCUUAAGAUGUGAUCAAGAAUUUACAUGAAAGAUGUAAUGUGUCCAUAAAUGUGUCAAUAUAC